CUGUAAAUAAAUUGAUGUGAUUUAAACUUCAAGGAAUCUUUAUUGAUUUUUAUGUUAUAUAUUAUAUUUAAAGGCUAGCUAAAAUUAAUGAAAAGAAAAAAGUUCAUUCUUAAUACUCAGUUUGGAUGGUAAUCUUUAAUGUGUCCUUUCAGUUCUUCCACAUUAUGUCAUAGCAUAUAAAGGUUGAAACACUAAUAAACCUCACUUUAGCAAUUCUUCACUUAUAGAUUUUUCUAUUAAAGACCCAUGGAUAAUAUCCCAUACUGGAGUUUAUAAUACAAUCCUAGUAGGAAUAAUUAAUGCCAAACAAUUGAAAAUGGUAAAAGUAGAUAAGUUACAUACAAGAAUAACCAGUUUAGGUGACAAGCAAAACAAUAUUUCUUUCAAUUUUGGUUCCUUGAUUCCUUUGAAAAAAAAUUCUUUAAAAGGGAAAAGUAAAUUAGAAGAGAGGUGUGGCUACUCACAAAACUCAUCAAUCCUUAUAUAUCACGUUAUGGAAAAACUUAUCUACGCCUGUUCCAUCAUAGAACCAAGACAUAAAUGUGUGAUCUUAUCAUACAUAUUAUGUCUUGUUUCCACAGUGGAUCGAGUCUAGUCCAAAAUUUCCCGUUACAUUAUAAAUGCAAACUAAGAAGCUCUUAUCAUUUUACCAAACAAUUAAUUAACAUUCCCUAAACAAGGAAAAUUUUAAGACACAAUAAAAAGGUGCAACUACAAAUAAUCUUCUAAAGCAACAUCCACAGGAACCUCAUAUCCAAAAACCAUGGAGUAAUCAUCCAAUUCAUCAGAGGUGAACUUUGGCAUCCUCCAGCUUCUUGCAAGUUCAGAGUCAUGGCCAAUGGUUAGAAGCUCUAACACCUAAAUAAGAUAAGAGAGAUUAUUUUUCCCCAUUUUAUGAUAUAUAUAAGAUGAAUUUUUCUUUCUUAGACCCGUUUCCACUAUAGACUCAAGAUACAAGAUAUGUAGUAAGACUCAUUUCUUAAAUACAUAGUUCUCAUAUAUUUAUGUUUUAAAUCCAUGGUGGGCUGGAUUUAAGUAUAAAUAUCUCAAGAAUAAUAAAUAAGCUAUGUACCAAUGAGCUGAACUCAACGUUUUAUAUUAUAAAAAUGAGCAAAAACACUUGCCUCACUCAUUGAUGGACGCCAUACCGAGGACUGUCUCACACAAUAUGAAGCCGUUAGCACUACUCUGUACAUUUGGUCUUCAUCAAAUUUGCCUUCUAGUUUUGGAUCAGCUAGUUCACUGAUCUUUCCAGAUUCCAUUAGAGGCUUUGCCUACGCAUAGUAACAAGUCAUUUUAGUGUAUAUAAAAUCCAUUUUUAACUUGUACCUUACAACAAAUAUAUAAUUAAUGGUUGCAUACCCAUAAGAGAAGGUUUUGCUUGGAUGAAUCCACAGGCCUUCGGCCAGAUAUAAUCUCCAAAAGUAGAACUCCAAAUGCAAAAACAUCAGUUUUCUCAUCCACGAUUCCAUGCAUGAAGUACUCUGGUGCCAAGUAUCCAAAUGUACCUUCAAUUGGAAUCACAGCAUGGUGAGUCCACUUGUUAGGAAGCCACUUUGCCAACCCGAAAUCCGUGAUCUGUGGUUCAUAAUCGGGUCCAAGAAGAACAUUAGAGGCUUUUAUGUCACGGUGUAUUAUUCGGUGCUUGCAGCAUUUAUGGAGAUAGUGUAGACCUCUAGCCACUCCAAGGACAAUCUUGAAUCUCACUGCCCAUUCUAAGGACAGGCUUGUUUUACCAUGCAAUGCAGAUGCCAAAUUUCCAUUUUGAAAGAAAUUGAAAAUGAGAUAGAGUCCAUUUUCAAUGCAGCAGCCAACUAAAUUUGCAGUAUUGGGAUGGCAGACAUGAACAAUAAUACCCAAUUCUAUGAGGAACUCUUUCUCCUUUGUAGCAUCCUUGUUGUCCUCAGUCAAUCUCUUCACUGCAAUUCUUCUCCCAUCUGAAAGGUCACCUCUAUACACCUCUGAGUACCCUCCUCUGCCUACUAUAUUUUCUGUGUGGAAGUUAUUUGUGGCGUUGGCAAUCUCUCCAUAUGUGAAGCACUUAAGCAACGGCUGUUGCUUCUCUUUGUUGGAAAAACUGCCCCGUCUUUUUCUCAACGGUGACGUAAAGAUUGAGGAGAUAAUUUUGCAUGCAGACAUUUGCUUUCUUAUUUUCGAUUCGCUUUUGAACUUGGAAGGCAGUGAAGGUGACUCAGUAGUAAUGCUUGAGCCUUCAAAGCUGAUGGUAUCAUCUUCUGUGCUAUGAGAUUCUCCAUCAAGUUCAUCUAUUACAGAUCUCGGUGAAGAUUUUUGACUCUUCACUUUUGAUUCAACAGGGGAGGUAGUAGCCCUGCCACUUCGAUUGCACAACCACCUGGAACUUGAUUCAGUUUCUUUUGAAUCAGAAUUUUGCAGACGCUGUACACAUUUUCCAAUUGAAAUCACCGUACAGCCUUCUGGGGCAUGCUUAAAACAGUACCUUAUAACUUCAUGCCAAGUUCUGUUUGAUCGGCUUCUCAAGCCACGAAUAAGAAGAUAGUCAGCUGAAAUGGAUUUUGCUUCCUGAAUUAGCCCUUUAGAGAUGCUAGAGCUAAAGCCUACUCUAGCCUCCAAAUUUAUCUGCUGAGAUUGGCAGGUCCUGGCAAAUUCUCCAAGCACAGAAAUAACAUGUGCUUUUGCUUGGCGAAUCUGCGAACGUUUCCUCUUUAUCAGUUCGCGCUGCUUCUUUGUCUCCUCACCAACAAUAACAUGAAUGGCAACAAUGUCGUCAUUGGGACGAGCAAGAACUGAGAUUGCCCAUGAGAGAAGCUCUUUACUAUCAUCUGGGUCUAAAGGGAUGGCCAUCAGUAUUUUGGCAGGAGCUGAAACAGGGAUCAUUUUAUCUGCAACCAAAUGGCCGACCAGCUUUAAAUUCUUUGUCGAUGAGUUGAGACAAGGAAUCUCCCUUAUGUUAUUUUGCUUUUUAUGAGGCUUCUAUUAUAAAUCUGAAGCACUGAAACUCAUGAGCUUAAUAAUAAAGUGCAAGGGAACAACAGAAUGAUUAAGGUCAGUAGAGAGUGAAGGCCACAUUUAGCUCUCUCUCUCACACACACAUUCUAUUAUUCUUGUUAAGGAAGCAUAGAAAGGCUUUUACAGUGGCAAUAGGCCAGAUCGAAGUGAUUAUAGAACUCUUUCUCUAAAGAAAAUGGGAGUAGAAUUAAGUGUUUAUGGUUGGGUGCUUUGGGGUAUAAGCAAAGGUGAUUGGCAUAUGCAUUUGAUAAGUCUUGCUAUCUAAGCCAAAAUUUCAAACUGGCUAUAACGAAGUAAUAAUUUGUUGGAUUUGGUAGGAAGGUCUAUUUGCCACUCAAAAAGAA
Molecule: unclassified non-coding RNA, 3332 nt
Filed under: Hevea brasiliensis (rubber tree)
Lineage: Eukaryota; Viridiplantae; Streptophyta; Magnoliopsida; Malpighiales; Euphorbiaceae
Source: RNAcentral